UUCCAAAUAUUUUUUUGCAUAAAAUUAUAUAUUUUAUUCAAGUAAAAGAAUUUAAUUUUAUUAAAAUAUAUAUAUGAGUUUUUUCUGGGUUAUUUUUUAAAAUAAUUUUAUUAUAUUUAUUUUUAGUUUAUAGUUUUGAUUAAUUUAUUAAUAUAAUAUUCAUUUAUAAUAAUUAUUUUAUAACAAAGAUUGUGCCAGCAGUUGCGGUUAUACAAUCAUAAAUAUUAAAUUUUUUUGGUUUAUAUUAAGUUUUAUUUUUUUUUUAAUUUAAAAUUUAUUAGUGUUGUUUGGUGGAAUAUCAAUAUUUUAUUUUAUUAAUUGGACUAUUAUAUAUGAAAGUUAUUUUUUAAGACUAGGAUUAGAUACCCUAUUAUUUUAAUUGUAAAUUUUAAAACCUAAUUAUUAAUAGAUAAGAUCUUUAAAUUUAAAGGAUUUGGCGGUAAUUUAGCUUUUUCAGAAGAACCUGUUCUUUAAUUGAUAAACCACAAUAAAUUUUACUUUUAUUUUGCUUAUAUACCUCUAUCAUUGAAUGUUUUAUGAAAAUUAUUUUCUGAAUGGUUUUUUAACUUAAAUGUUAGGUCAAGGUUUAGUAAUAUAAAAGUAGAAAUGGGUUACAUUGUUUAUAUAUAAUAAUGAUUAUAGUAUGGAAAUUUAUAUGAUUUUGGAUUUGAUAGUAAUUUUUUUUAGGAAAAAAAAUUGAUAUUGGCUCUAUAUUACCUAUGUACAUAUCGCUCGUCGCUCCUAAUUUAGGAUAAGUCGUAACAAAGUAGAUUUAUUGGAAAAUGAAUCUAGAAUGU
This 797-nucleotide non-coding RNA is filed under the name Adelphocoris lineolatus. Lineage: Eukaryota; Metazoa; Arthropoda; Insecta; Hemiptera; Miridae. The record is from RNAcentral.